CCCUACAGCCAUAUCAUCCUGAAGCCCAAGACUGGUUACUCACUGAAGCUAAACAGGGCUGAACCCGGUCAGUACCUGGAUUGGAGACCACAUGGUAAAACUAAGCUGCUGUUGGAA
Ribosomal RNA from Danio rerio (zebrafish), 117 nucleotides. The record is from Ensembl. Lineage: Eukaryota; Metazoa; Chordata; Actinopteri; Cypriniformes; Danionidae.